Molecule: long non-coding RNA, 1486 nt
Filed under: Cricetulus griseus (Chinese hamster)
Lineage: Eukaryota; Metazoa; Chordata; Mammalia; Rodentia; Cricetidae
Description: lncRNA (ENSCGRG00015030685.1)
Source: RNAcentral
AAUGCCUGCCGUGGGUGGGAGUGGGUAAGAUUAUUUAUUUUAUAAAAAGGUAGAGCUAAGUAUGGAGAAAAUGAUCACAGGAGAAAACAUGGACCCUUUGGAGAAAAUAUGGGGGGGGGAAUAAGGAAAGACAGUGUGAAAGGCAUAUGUAUGGCAAGCACUUGGGGGCAUCAGUGAGGACUGACAACAAGGGUCAUAAUGAGCAGCAAUAAGCUCAGCAGGAUUGGUGGCCCUGGACUAUUAGCACAUUUACAGUUUUCAUCAUUGUUUGCAGCAGGUUAGAGCUGCAAUUCUUUUUUGUUUGUUUGCUCUCAGAUGCACAGCACUGACACAUCAGGCGCAUAGCAGCUGGUGUCAUGACUGUCAGCACAGAGGUAGACCUUCCUGUGUGAUACCACUUGACAUGUGAGACAAGAGGCUCAGAGAAGAAGGAUGGAUAUUUUAAAGUUGGCAUCACAGAAGACUCAGUACUGGAUCUCAGCUGUCACAAAGAUGGUGUGGGUAUGGAGCAAAGUGGGACGCCAGGAGGAGCCAUGCUGUGGAUGGAGGAAGGAUGCAAGUGAAGCACAGCUUCAUAAUCACACAAGGCAUUCCAUCUAACAACAUCAUAUGCUGGUUCUCACUAACCAGGUAGGUACCAGGCAGCAUCAAGGAGCAUUUGCUGAGCAUCCUUUGUGUUGGCCAAUGAGUGAGAUAAGGGGAGCCAUCAAAUCCAUAUGAGAAAUAAGCCUUAAUGACAACAAUUUGUCAGACACUGUUUCCAUUCAUUCAUUCAUCAACAUUUGGGUGCCAUUGAGAGAAUGAAAUGAUUUAACCCAUCUCAUUCAUCAUCCAAACCAGGAAACAAAUUGUAAAAGUCAUGCUUUUCUAGAUUACCUGACAGGGGAUAUAUGAAGCUGUGGAGGGAACAGGGAAGACAACAGGCUGUAUGUCAUCUUCCAGGCAGCUGGAUGAUAGGAACACACAUAUCCUGGCUAAUGGUGGGUAAAACCUUCAGUUAUUCAGGACUAUGUACUUACACCCACAGUUGCAAGGAACAACAGCACAAGAAAAUGAGACAAAUAACUAAGGCCACACUCUGUAGCAUUUACUCAACAAACAAUACGUACUUAAUUUAGGCCAGAACUAUUCAAGGGGUUUGGGGAGUUGAGAGGUAGGUCCUGUUCAGACCACCAGGCUGGUGAGCAACAGAACGGAGACUCCAGCAGAGCUCUUGCUAAUUGGAAGAGCCUGGGCUAUGUUGUUUCCAAGCACCUAAUGACAAAUCUCUUGGUUUCUCAUCCCUUCAGCUGCCUACUCUGCAGUAAAGUCUUCUCCAGUCACAGCGGCUGGCCCAAUGGCCUCCUCAGACAGACUUUGAACUAAGGCAAUCUGCAUCUGGGCCAUCAGCCAGUUCUUGAGUCCUUAGUCAAUGUGGGGAAAGCACACAGGCGAGGAAGUAAAAAAAUUGUCUUAAGCAUUUUACAGAAAUGGGGAUACUGAGCAU